CUGAAGUAACAUGAAGUGCUAAUCUCAAUGGGGUAAUGAGGAGUCCUAUUCCAAGAUGGCGGGACUGGACCAAACCUCCUAUUUUUGCUCUUUCAAGCAGCAUUCAAAAAAAAUGAAUUGGUGACCCGAUCGCCCAUCCAGAAAAUUGGCCCGGAUCUGCAGUUUGGAUUGGUAAAUAAAAAAUUUUAAAACUAGAGAACAAAAUAAAAUUUUGAAAAAUAAUAAAAAUAAAAAGUGGGACUGAAUAGGCCAGGUCCUUGACAAAAUCAACCAGUUAUGUUAAAGAACCAGUGAAUUCCUGACGGGAACCAGCUGAUUCUUGAUAUAUGGUGGAAACCGGACUGGUCGCACCGAUUCUCAAUCUGAAUCGGGCGAUUAUGAUUCUGAAUCAGCAUUUUUUUAGAACCCUAAGUGAGAAAGAGAGUUAUGUCUGUGUGUUUGUCAUGUCUAUCAAUUAGAUAGAGAAGGGGAGGGUGUAGCAGUGAACAUGUGUUUUCCAUUUACCAAAACAAUAAAAUGCAUGCUAAAGAACAGAGAUCAAAUCAUGAAUUACUGGACAAUUGAUUCCUUCACAAGAGGACUGAAUGAUUACCAGUUUCAUCCCACUGAACAUUUCCUAAAUCUCCAGUCUAUUUCUUAGAUCAUCAAGAGAAGACAAGCUCCUAAAAUUCUUGUACAAGCAAACUAACCAUUUCAGAUAUGGAAAAAA
RNAcentral lists this long non-coding RNA (709 nucleotides) under Amborella trichopoda. Its description in RNAcentral is "long non-coding RNA (ATRI_LNC001271)". Lineage: Eukaryota; Viridiplantae; Streptophyta; Magnoliopsida; Amborellales; Amborellaceae. The record is from RNAcentral.